GGCCUGUUGAGUAGAAUUUUAGGUCUAGCCUGCCCAAUGAUGAUUUUAAAUGGCCGCGGUAUAUUGACCGUGCAAAGGUAGCAUAAUCAUUAGUUUUUUGAUUGAAAGCUAGGAUGAAGGGUUUUAUGAGAAAGAAUCUGUCUCUUUAGAAGUUUAUUAGAAUUUUAUUUUUAAGUGAAAAAGCUUAGAUUAGGAUGGAAGACGAGAAGACCCUAUAGAGUUUUAUAUUUAAGAGAGUUUAAGGUAUGCGGAGUUAGGUUUAUUUUUUAUUUUAUUAAAUAUUUUGCUGGGGUGACAGAAAAAUUGGCUAAACUUUUUUUUUAUUUAGAUCAUUGAUUUAUGAAUAUAUGAUCCUGAUAAUUUAGAUUAAAAGAUUAAAUUACCUUAGGGAUAACAGCGUAAUUUUUUAUAGAGUUCAAAUCGAAUAAAAAGAUUGCGACCUCGAUGUUGGAUUAAAAUGAAUAAUUGGUGAAGAAGUUGAUUAAUUAGGUCUGUUCGACCUUUAAAAUUUUACAUGAUCUGAGUUUAAACCGGCGUGAG
This 540-nucleotide ribosomal RNA is filed under the name Trigonopterus sp. 868 AR-2022a. Its description in RNAcentral is "partial large subunit ribosomal RNA". It matches the Rfam family "Bacterial large subunit ribosomal RNA", at positions 1819 to 2625 of the family's 2925-position model. Lineage: Eukaryota; Metazoa; Arthropoda; Insecta; Coleoptera; Curculionidae. The record is from RNAcentral.